Pelobates cultripes (western spadefoot toad) is the source of this 310-nucleotide non-coding RNA. The record is from the annotation of a GenBank genome assembly. Lineage: Eukaryota; Metazoa; Chordata; Amphibia; Anura; Pelobatidae.
GAUGAGACCCUCACAAACGAAGAAGAAAGCGAGGGAAGCCACCCUCAUGACCUUCUUCCCAGCCGAGAAGAAACAAGCCGACAUGCAAGAUGGCGGCAUGGAAAGUGCGCAUAGACAGAGAGGACGCAGCUUCAAACUCCUCAACCUCCUACUCCAACGACACCACCCGCAUACUAACCCAGAUGAAGGCGGACAGAGACUCCCUAGCGUGAGAAAUCGAAUGGAACUCUAGAGAGAUACGUCAGGAGAUCCAGGCCUUGGGUACCUGCACAGCCGCACUAGAGACCAGAGUGGAGGAGGUGGUAAAGGC